This 372-nucleotide RNase P RNA is filed under the name Klebsiella pneumoniae. RNAcentral's name for it is "RNase P RNA component class A". It matches the Rfam family "Bacterial RNase P class A". From Rfam's summary of the family: Ribonuclease P (RNase P) is a ubiquitous endoribonuclease, found in archaea, bacteria and eukarya as well as chloroplasts and mitochondria. Its best characterised activity is the generation of mature 5'-ends of tRNAs by cleaving the 5'-leader elements of precursor-tRNAs. Lineage: Bacteria; Pseudomonadati; Pseudomonadota; Gammaproteobacteria; Enterobacterales; Enterobacteriaceae. The record is from RNAcentral.
GAAGCUGACCAGACAGUCGCCGCUUCGUCGUCGUCCUCCUUCGGGGAGACGGGCGGAGGGGAGGAAAGUCCGGCCCAUAGGGCAAGGUGCCGUAACGCCCGGGGUGUCACAGCCCACGACCAGUGCAACAGAGAGCAAACCGCCGAUGGCCCGCGCAAGCGGAUCAGGUAGGGUGAAAGGGUGCGGUAGAGCGCACCGCGCGGCUGGUAACAGUCCGCGGCACGGUAAACUCCACCCGGAGCAAGGCCAAAUAGGGGUUCAUAAGGUACGGCCCGUACUGAACCCGGGUAGGCUGCUUGAGCCAGUGAGCGAUUGCUGGCCUAGAUGAAUGACUGUCCACGACAGAACCCGGCUUAUCGGUCAGUUUCACCU